This 253-nucleotide ribosomal RNA is filed under the name uncultured bacterium. RNAcentral's name for it is "partial 16S ribosomal RNA". It matches the Rfam family "Bacterial small subunit ribosomal RNA", at positions 524 to 776 of the family's 1533-position model. The record is from RNAcentral.
UACAGAGGUGGCAAGCGUUGUUCGGAAUUACUGGGCGUAAAGGGCGCGUAGGCGGCCUUCUAAGUCCCGUGUGAAAGCCCUCGGCUUAACCGAGGAACUGCACGAGAAACUGGACGGCUUGAGUUCGGGAGAGGGAAGCGGAAUUCCGGGUGUAGCGGUGAAAUGCGUAGAUAUCCGGAGGAACACCGGUGGCGAAGGCGGCUUCCUGGACCGACACUGACGCUGAGGCGCGAAAGCUAGGGGAGCAAACGGG